CCUACGGGAGGCAGCAGUGGGGAAUUUUGGACAAUGGGCGCAAGCCUGAUCCAGCAAUGCCGCGUGAGUGAAGAAGGCCUUCGGGUUGUAAAGCUCUUUUGUCAGGGAAGAAACGGUAUCUCCUAAUACGGGGUGCUAAUGACGGUACCUGAAGAAUAAGCACCGGCUAACUACGUGCCAGCAGCCGCGGUAAUACGUAGGGUGCAAGCGUUAAUCGGAAUUACUGGGCGUAAAGCGUGCGCAGGCGGUUAUAUAAGUCAGAUGUGAAAUCCCCGGGCUCAACCUGGGAACUGCAUUUGAGACUGUAUGGCUAGAGUGUGUCAGAGGGGGGUAGAAUUCCACGUGUAGCAGUGAAAUGCGUAGAUAUGUGGAGGAAUACCGAUGGCGAAGGCAGCCCCCUGGGAUAACACUGACGCUCAUGCACGAAAGCGUGGGGAGCAAACAGGAUUAGAUACCCUGGUAGUCCACGCCCUAAACGAUGUCUACUAGUUGUCGGGACUUAAUUGUCUUGGUAACGCAGCUAACGCGUGAAGUAGACCGCCUGGGGAGUACGGUCGCAAGAUUAAAACUUAAAUGAAUUGACGG
RNAcentral lists this ribosomal RNA (585 nucleotides) under uncultured beta proteobacterium. RNAcentral describes it as "bacterial SSU rRNA". It matches the Rfam family "Bacterial small subunit ribosomal RNA", at positions 338 to 916 of the family's 1533-position model. The record is from RNAcentral. Lineage: Bacteria; Pseudomonadati; Pseudomonadota; Betaproteobacteria.